Molecule: long non-coding RNA, 1527 nt
Organism: Trifolium pratense (red clover)
Lineage: Eukaryota; Viridiplantae; Streptophyta; Magnoliopsida; Fabales; Fabaceae
Exons: 6
Source: RefSeq, a predicted model, not a curated record
UACCACUUACUGGGGAAGAUCGAAAGUUUCACGUCAAAGACAAGAUAUAGAUGUCAAAGAGCAACUAGCAGCAUUUAAAGCUGAUAUGGAAGCUAAGUUUGAGGAAAAGUUGGCGCAAGAGCGUAAGAUGUUGGCGCGAGAGCGUAAGAUGAUGCAAGAUUCUCUUAUGGAGACACUAAAGUCCAUGGGUUUAUCCCAAACCUCUGAUACAAAUAAUAAAGUCAUGGUACCUGAAGCGCAAACCGAUAAACUUGUUGUCACCGGAAGCGCAAAAGGGAGUUGUUCUCCUGCACCGGUCAAGACGCAAAAUGAACUCAAGGAGGUUGUUAUCACUGAAAGCGCAAAAGGAAGUCGUUCUCCUGCACCGGUACCAGAGGCUCAAAAUAACAUGGACGAUGUUCAGAAAUUGUUAAUCAUGGUUCUGAAAAAGGGUGAAGAGCAUUUGCAUGUAAAAUUAAAUCAUUGUCCAGCUUGUGUUAAUUUUCUCAUGUCUUGCAAGUGUAUAAGAGAGCUGUUGGUGGGUUCUAUUUGGCUCGACAUGACUACUCUAAGUGUUUGGUGCUCGUACAUUCAUGGUUUAUGCAUUGAAAACAACACCACAAAUGUAUAUGGAAUUUUGGAACCUGCUGAGUUGAAUAUUGUUGGUGAUGGGAGAAAAAGUAAUCAGAAAAUGACUCAAAGUAAAUGCAAAAAAUACAUCCAGCAUAAGUUACAAAAUGAAAAGAAAGAGUGUCAAUUAUUACCAUUUAACCAUGGGUAAGUUUGUAUGAAUUUGUGUAUUUUUUUAAUACUUAUUUAUUUUUUAUAACUCAUAGUUAUUAACAAUAUAAUACCAUUCUUCCACGCACGCGUACAGAGGACUUUGGCAGUUGAUAAUACUUUGUCCAAAGAUAAAUACUGUGGUUGUUCUUUGUUCACUACAUUGGAAACUUAAUUCAAUAAUGGAGAAAAUUGUUUCAAGUGUUUUUACGGUUGAUCAAAUGGCGAAUGGCAAUAGAAAGAACAAUACCGUAUGACUUUAUCCCAAAGGGAGGAAACAAUAUAAUACAAAUGACUGUGGAUACUAUGUAAUGAAAAAUAUGUUGGACAUUGUCACUGCUAAGAUAACUGAGUCUUGGAUGGAGGUAUUUAAUGACCCAAGUGAGUUAACAGCUGACGAGAUGUAUGAAUUGCGACUACGUUGGUCAACAUAUUUUUUGGAGUUAUUGGAGGGUUAAGAUUUAUCUGCUGGGAAUUGAGGAUGGUGAUGAAAUGCUUGUUAUGCUUCAUCUGAGAAGACAUGUUUAGUGGAAAAUUAUAAUGAAAAGCUUGCCAUGCUUCAUUGUAGAUGGAACUGGUUUAACUUUGGACUAGGCAAAUUAAUGCAUAAUAUUUGUACCUUCUAUUUUCUAGUAAUAUUAUGGUGCAGUUGCAGCUGCUGGACUUUGCACUUCCUAACCUUAGUUUAUAUUAGUUUAAAUCAUGGAUGGAUUAUCAUAGUUAUAUAUAUAUAUGCAUCAGUUGCUACUGCAACUGAUUUUUAACAUA